Molecule: non-coding RNA, 145 nt
Organism: Gossypium hirsutum (cotton)
Lineage: Eukaryota; Viridiplantae; Streptophyta; Magnoliopsida; Malvales; Malvaceae
Source: Rfam
AGUUAAAAAUUUUAUCCAUUUUGAGAAUUAAAAUUUGGCAUGACUGAUAAAAUAAUCAAAAACAUAUACGUGGUGUGUCAUGUGUACCUCAUUAUAACAUAUAAGGAUAAUUUUUUAACAAUAAAAAUGGAUGAAAUUUUUAACA